Molecule: ribosomal RNA, 609 nt
Filed under: Bacillus subtilis
Lineage: Bacteria; Bacillati; Bacillota; Bacilli; Caryophanales; Bacillaceae
Description: bacterial SSU rRNA
Rfam family: Bacterial small subunit ribosomal RNA
Source: RNAcentral
CUUGAGUGCAGAAGAGGAGAGUGGAAUUCCACGUGUAGCGGUGAAAUGCGUAGAGAUGUGGAGGAACACCAGUGGCGAAGGCGACUCUCUGGUCUGUAACUGACGCUGAGGAGCGAAAGCGUGGGGAGCGAACAGGAUUAGAUACCCUGGUAGUCCACGCCGUAAACGAUGAGUGCUAAGUGUUAGGGGGUUUCCGCCCCUUAGUGCUGCAGCUAACGCAUUAAGCACUCCGCCUGGGGAGUACGGUCGCAAGACUGAAACUCAAAGGAAUUGACGGGGGCCCGCACAAGCGGUGGAGCAUGUGGUUUAAUUCGAAGCAACGCGAAGAACCUUACCAGGUCUUGACAUCCUCUGACAAUCCUAGAGAUAGGACGUCCCCUUCGGGGGCAGAGUGACAGGUGGUGCAUGGUUGUCGUCAGCUCGUGUCGUGAGAUGUUGGGUUAAGUCCCGCAACGAGCGCAACCCUUGAUCUUAGUUGCCAGCAUUCAGUUGGGCACUCUAAGGUGACUGCCGGUGACAAACCGGAGGAAGGUGGGGAUGACGUCAAAUCAUCAUGCCCCUUAUGACCUGGGCUACACACGUGCUACAAUGGACAGAACAAAGGGCAGC